This 525-nucleotide ribosomal RNA is filed under the name Cyclocephala lunulata. Its description in RNAcentral is "partial 16S ribosomal RNA". It matches the Rfam family "Bacterial large subunit ribosomal RNA", at positions 1819 to 2610 of the family's 2925-position model. The record is from RNAcentral. Lineage: Eukaryota; Metazoa; Arthropoda; Insecta; Coleoptera; Scarabaeidae.
GUCUUUUUGAUUAUAAUUUAAAGUCUGACCUGCCCAAUGAAAGUUUAAAUGGCCGCGGUAAUUUGACCGUGCAAAGGUAGCAUAAUCAUUAGUUUUUUAAUUGAAAGCUGGAAUGAAUGGUUGGACGAGAAAAUGACUGUCUCAAUUUAAUUGGAUAUAGAAUUUUAUUUAUAAGUUAAAAAGCUUAUAUAAAUUUAAAAGACGAGAAGACCCUAUAGAAUUUAAUAUUUUUAUAUGCUUAUAUUUUUUUAGAAUAAGUAAAUUUUAGUUUUUAAAAAUAUUUUGUUGGGGUGACAGAAAAAUUAAGUUAACUUUUUUUAUAUACUAAAUCAUGAAUUAAUGAAUAAUUGAUCCGUUUAUUACGAUUAUAAGAUUAAAUUACCUUAGGGAUAACAGCGUAAUUUUUUUUUAGAGUUCUUAUCGAAAAAAGAGUUUGCGACCUCGAUGUUGGAUUAAAAUUAACUUUUGGUGUAGGGGCUAAAUAGUUAGGUCUGUUCGACCUUUAAAAUUUUACAUGAUCUGAGU